Cydia pomonella (codling moth) is the source of this 167-nucleotide long non-coding RNA. RefSeq lists it as uncharacterized. Lineage: Eukaryota; Metazoa; Arthropoda; Insecta; Lepidoptera; Tortricidae. The transcript has 2 exons. The record is from RefSeq and is a predicted model, not a curated record.
AUAAGAUUCAUAAGAGGUCUAACUACAAAAACAGUAGAAAAUCGAAUCAAACGCCCUAACCCAGUACCCAAGUGGGUACAAUGGGCGCCAAUGGGAUAAGAUUCAUAAGAGGUCUAACUUAGGUAAAUGGGUAAAUGGCUAAAGUAGUGUUAUCUACUUUAGCCAUU